This 1423-nucleotide ribosomal RNA is filed under the name uncultured organism. RNAcentral's name for it is "16S ribosomal RNA". It matches the Rfam family "Bacterial small subunit ribosomal RNA". The record is from RNAcentral.
GGCUCAGGAUGAACGCUGGCGGCGCGCCUAACACAUGCAAGUCGAACGGCACCCCUCUCCGGAGGGAAGCGAGUGGCGAACGGCUGAGUAACACGUGGAGAACCUGCCCCCUCCCCCGGGAUAGCCGCCCGAAAGGACGGGUAAUACCGGAUACCCCCGGGCGCCGCAUGGCGCCCGGGCUAAAGCCCCGACGGGAGGGGAUGGCUCCGCGGCCCAUCAGGUAGACGGCGGGGUGACGGCCCACCGUGCCGACAACGGGUAGCCGGGUUGAGAGACCGACCGGCCAGAUUGGGACUGAGACACGGCCCAGACUCCUACGGGAGGCAGCAGUGGGGAAUCUUGCGCAAUGGGGGGAACCCUGACGCAGCGACGCCGCGUGCGGGACGGAGGCCUUCGGGUCGUAAACCGCUUUCAGCAGGGAAGAGUCAAGACUGUACCUGCAGAAGAAGCCCCGGCUAACUACGUGCCAGCAGCCGCGGUAAUACGUAGGGGGCGAGCGUUAUCCGGAUUCAUUGGGCGUAAAGCGCGCGUAGGCGGCCCGGCAGGCCGGGGGUCGAAGCGGGGGGCUCAACCCCCCGAAGCCCCCGGAACCUCCGCGGCUUGGGUCCGGUAGGGGAGGGUGGAACACCCGGUGUAGCGGUGGAAUGCGCAGAUAUCGGGUGGAACACCGGUGGCGAAGGCGGCCCUCUGGGCCGAGACCGACGCUGAGGCGCGAAAGCUGGGGGAGCGAACAGGAUUAGAUACCCUGGUAGUCCCAGCCGUAAACGAUGGACGCUAGGUGUGGGGGGGACGAUCCCCCCGUGCCGCAGCCAACGCAUUAAGCGUCCCGCCUGGGGAGUACGGCCGCAAGGCUAAAACUCAAAGGAAUUGACGGGGGCCCGCACAAGCAGCGGAGCAUGUGGCUUAAUUCGAAGCAACGCGAAGAACCUUACCAGGGCUUGACAUAUGGGUGAAGCGGGGGAGACCCCGUGGCCGAGAGGAGCCCAUACAGGUGGUGCAUGGCUGUCGUCAGCUCGUGUCGUGAGAUGUUGGGUUAAGUCCCGCAACGAGCGCAACCCCCGCCGCGUGUUGCCAUCGGGUGAUGCCGGGAACCCACGCGGGACCGCCGCCGUCAAGGCGGAGGAGGGCGGGGACGACGUCAAGUCAUCAUGCCCCUUAUGCCCUGGGCUGCACACGUGCUACAAUGGCCGGUACAGAGGGAUGCCACCCCGCGAGGGGGAGCGGAUCCCGGAAAGCCGGCCCCAGUUCGGAUUGGGGGCUGCAACCCGCCCCCAUGAAGUCGGAGUUGCUAGUAAUCGCGGAUCAGCAUGCCGCGGUGAAUGCGUUCCCGGGCCUUGUACACACCGCCCGUCACACCACCCGAGUCGUCUGCACCCGAAGUCGCCGGCCCAACCUUUCGAGGGGGGAGGCGCCGAAGGUGUGG